CGGAAACGGACGCUAAUACCGCAUACGUCCUACGGGAGAAAGCGGGGGAUCUUCGGACCUCGCGCCAUUAGAUGAGCCUAGGUCGGAUUAGCUAGUUGGUGAGGUAAUGGCUCACCAAGGCGACGAUCCGUAACUGGUCUGANAGGAUGAUCAGUCACACUGGAACUGAGACACGGUCCAGACUCCUACGGGAGGCAGCAGUGGGGAAUAUUGGACAAUGGGCGAAAGCCUGAUCCAGCCAUGCCGCGUGUGUGAAGAAGGUCUUCGGAUUGUAAAGCACUUUAAGUUGGGAGGAAGGGUAGUAACCUAAUACGUUGCUACUUUGACGUUACCGACAGAAUAAGCACCGGCUAACUUCGUG
RNAcentral lists this ribosomal RNA (361 nucleotides) under uncultured bacterium. Its description in RNAcentral is "bacterial SSU rRNA". It matches the Rfam family "Bacterial small subunit ribosomal RNA", at positions 151 to 507 of the family's 1533-position model. The record is from RNAcentral.